AUUGAACGCUGGCGGCAAGCCUAACACAUGCAAGUCGAACGAGUAGCGGACGGGUGAGUAAUGUCUGGGAAACUGCCUGAUGGAGGGGGAUAAAUACUGGAAAAGGUAGCUAAUCCCGCAUACCAUCGGAUGUGCCCAGAUGGGAUUAGCUAGUAGGUGGGGUAAAGGCUCACCUAGGAGACGAUCCCUAGCUGGUCUGAGAGGAUGACCAGCCACACGUGAACUGAGACACGGUCCAGACUCCUACGGGAGGCAGCAGUGGGGAAUAUUGCACAAUGGGCGCAAGCCUGAUGCAGCCAUGCCGCGUGUAUGAAGAAGGCCUUCGGGUUGUAAAGUACUUUCAGCGGGGAGGCGUUACCCGCAGAAGAAGCACCGGCUAACUCCGUGCCAGCCGCCGCGGUAAUUC
Molecule: ribosomal RNA, 406 nt
Filed under: uncultured bacterium
Lineage: Bacteria
Description: partial 16S ribosomal RNA
Rfam family: Bacterial small subunit ribosomal RNA
Source: RNAcentral